Molecule: ribosomal RNA, 1227 nt
Filed under: Escherichia coli
Lineage: Bacteria; Pseudomonadati; Pseudomonadota; Gammaproteobacteria; Enterobacterales; Enterobacteriaceae
Description: partial 23S ribosomal RNA
Rfam family: Bacterial large subunit ribosomal RNA
Source: RNAcentral
GUUAAGCGACUAAGCGUACACGGUGGAUGCCCUGGCAGUCAGAGGCGAUGAAGGACGUGCUAAUCUGCGAUAAGCGUCGGUAAGGUGAUAUGAACCGUUAUAACCGGCGAUUUCCGAAUGGGGAAACCCAGUGUGUUUCGACACACUAUCAUUAACUGAAUCCAUAGGUUAAUGAGGCGAACCGGGGGAACUGAAACAUCUAAGUACCCCGAGGAAAAGAAAUCAACCGAGAUUCCCCCAGUAGCGGCGAGCGAACGGGGAGCAGCCCAGAGCCUGAAUCAGUGUGUGUGUUAGUGGAAGCGUCUGGAAAGGCGCGCGAUACAGGGUGACAGCCCCGUACACAAAAAUGCACAUGCUGUGAGCUCGAUGAGUAGGGCGGGACACGUGGUAUCCUGUCUGAAUAUGGGGGGACCAUCCUCCAAGGCUAAAUACUCCUGACUGACCGAUAGUGAACCAGUACCGUGAGGGAAAGGCGAAAAGAACCCCGGCGAGGGGAGUGAAAAAGAACCUGAAACCGUGUACGUACAAGCAGUGGGAGCACGCUUAGGCGUGUGACUGCGUACCUUUUGUAUAAUGGGUCAGCGACUUAUAUUCUGUAGCAAGGUUAACCGAAUAGGGGAGCCGAAGGGAAACCGAGUCUUAACUGGGCGUUAAGUUGCAGGGUAUAGACCCGAAACCCGGUGAUCUAGCCAUGGGCAGGUUGAAGGUUGGGUAACACUAACUGGAGGACCGAACCGACUAAUGUUGAAAAAUUAGCGGAUGACUUGUGGCUGGGGGUGAAAGGCCAAUCAAACCGGGAGAUAGCUGGUUCUCCCCGAAAGCUAUUUAGGUAGCGCCUCGUGAAUUCAUCUCCGGGGGUAGAGCACUGUUUCGGCAAGGGGGUCAUCCCGACUUACCAACCCGAUGCAAACUGCGAAUACCGGAGAAUGUUAUCACGGGAGACACACGGCGGGUGCUAACGUCCGUCGUGAAGAGGGAAACAACCCAGACCGCCAGCUAAGGUCCCAAAGUCAUGGUUAAGUGGGAAACGAUGUGGGAAGGCCCAGACAGCCAGGAUGUUGGCUUAGAAGCAGCCAUCAUUUAAAGAAAGCGUAAUAGCUCACUGGUCGAGUCGGCCUGCGCGGAAGAUGUAACGGGGCUAAACCAUGCACCGAAGCUGCGGCAGCGACGCUGAUGCGUUGUUGGGUAGGGGAGCGUUCUGUAAGCCUGUGAAGGUGUACUGUGAGG